AAGUCGUAACAAGGUUUCCGUAGGUGAACCUGCGGAAGGAUCAUUAUUGAAUAAACUUGGUUAGGUUGCUGCUGGCUCUUAGGAGCAUGUGCACACCGACUCCAUCUUUAACCACCUGUGCACCUUGCGUAGAUCUGAAUGUUUCGAGGAAACUCGGUUUGAGAAUUGCUGUGCGCAAGCCAGCUUUUCUUGUAUUCAGGUCUAUGUUUUCACAUACCCCAUAUGAAUGUAUACGAAUGUUGCAAUUGGCCUUGUGCCUUUAAAAACAAAUACAACUUUCAACAACGGAUCUCUUGGCUCUC
RNAcentral lists this unclassified non-coding RNA (302 nucleotides) under air metagenome. RNAcentral describes it as "partial contains small subunit ribosomal RNA, internal transcribed spacer 1, and 5.8S ribosomal RNA". The stretch from base 1 to 46 matches the Rfam family "Eukaryotic small subunit ribosomal RNA", at positions 1786 to 1831 of the family's 1831-position model. The record is from RNAcentral.